UAGCAAACCGGCACUUUUACCACCCAUUUAUUUUCAAGGAUGGAGCCUCCAAAUCGACGAUCGGCACCGUUGAACAUGAUCUAUACCACUUGAAUUGUUUAGAAAUCAAAUUUCAAAUCUUUUCGACAUUAUUUGCCUAAUGAUCAAAGGGUUUCAAAAUUUAUAAUUUUAAUGGUUGAUAUGAGGCGUUUUCUCAUUUAACGGUGUAAAGAUAUCCAAAUCAAUUGAAUUUUUGUUAGAAAAUUCUUUAAACCAUUUAAAACAAGAUCUAUACUCUUGAUCUUGAUUAUAAGACUCCUAUCAUCAUUUUUUUAAGAAUAUUCAUUUUUAGCCGUUCAUUUUUGUGUCUACUCGAUGGAUAAGAGAACAAUAUCGAAAAUGUAUAAAAUUUGAUUUCUAAAUAUUUCAAAUAGUAUAGAUCAUAUUCAACAGUGCCGAUCAUCAAUUUGGAGGCUCCAUCAUCGAAAACAAAUGGGUGGCAAAAGUGCCGGUUUGCUAUCGAUAGUAUUCUAGCUCAACUCUAUAUAUAUAUAUAUUUGUUAAAAAAUUAAAUAUUUGUUAUAUUAUAAAUAUUUUUAUAAAUUUUAAAUUUUUAAGUAGAAAUAAUUAUUUGUUUAUAUUUUAAAUUUAUAUUUAAAAAAAAUAAAUUUUUUUAGGGG
RNAcentral lists this long non-coding RNA (659 nucleotides) under Ananas comosus (pineapple). Its description in RNAcentral is "long non-coding RNA (ACOM_LNC032915)". Lineage: Eukaryota; Viridiplantae; Streptophyta; Magnoliopsida; Poales; Bromeliaceae. The record is from RNAcentral.